RNAcentral lists this ribosomal RNA (894 nucleotides) under uncultured bacterium. Its description in RNAcentral is "bacterial SSU rRNA". It matches the Rfam family "Bacterial small subunit ribosomal RNA", at positions 10 to 929 of the family's 1533-position model. The record is from RNAcentral.
AGUUUGAUCCUGGCUCAGAACGAACGCUUGCGGCGCGCCUAAUACAUGCAAGUCGAACGAGGUAGCAAUACCAAGUGGCGCACGGGUGAGUAACACGUGGAUAAUGUGCCAUUCAGUGGGGAAUAACCGACCGAAAGGUCAGCUAAUACCGCAUGAGACCACAGUCCCUGAGGGGACAGAGGUUAAAGAUUUAUCGCUGAAUGAUCAGUCUGCGUAAGAUUAGCUAGUUGGUGAGGUAACGGCUCACCAAGGCAACGAUCUUUAGGUGGUCUGAGAGGAUGACCACCCACACUGGAACUGGGACACGGUCCAGACUCCUACGGGAGGCAGCAGUAGGGAAUAUUGCACAAUGGGGGAAACCCUGAUGCAGCGACGCCGCGUGAGUGAUGAAGGCCUUCGGUCGUAAAGCUCUGUUGUACGGGAAGAAAAAAAUGACGGUACCGUAUAAGAAAGGAUCGGCUAACUUCGUGCCAGCAGCCGCGGUAAGACGAGGGAUCCUAGCGUUGUUCGGAAUCAUUGGGCGUAAAGAGUAUGUAGGCGGCCUAGUAAGUCAGUUGUGAAAGCCCCGGGCUCAACCCGGGAAGUGCAAUUGAUACUGCUUGGCUUGAAUGUGGAAGAGGGCAGUAGAAUUCCAGGUGUAGUGGUGAAAUACGUAGAUAUCCGGAGGAAUACCGGUGGCGAAGGCGGCUGCCUGGUCCUACAUUGACGCUGAGAUACGAAAGCGUGGGGAGCAAACAGGAUUAGAUACCCUGGUAGUCCACGCUGUAAACGAUGAACACUUGUUGUUGGAGGUAUUGACCCCUUUCAGUGACGAAGCUAACGCGUUAAGUGUUCCGCCUGGGGAGUACGGUCGCAAGAUUAAAACUCAAAGAAAUUGACGGGGGCCCGCACAAG